This 254-nucleotide ribosomal RNA is filed under the name uncultured bacterium. RNAcentral describes it as "partial 16S ribosomal RNA". It matches the Rfam family "Bacterial small subunit ribosomal RNA", at positions 524 to 776 of the family's 1533-position model. The record is from RNAcentral.
UACGGAGGGUGCGAGCGUUGUCCGGAAUCACUGGGCGUAAAGGGCGCGUAGGUGGCUUGGCAAGCGUGUGGUGAAAGCCCGGGGCUCAACCCCGGGUCUGCCGUGCGAACUGCUAUGGCUUGAGCACUGUAGAGGCAGGUAGAAUUCCGGGUGUAGCGGUGGAAUGCGUAGAGAUCCGGAAGAAUACCGGUGGCGAAGGCGGCCUGCUGGGCAGUGGCUGACACUGAGGCGCGAAAGCCAGGGGAGCAAAUGGG